CAGUCGCCGCGGUAAUACGUAGGUGGCAAGCGUUGUCCGGAAUUAUUGGGCGUAAAGCGCGCGCAGGUGGUUUAAUAAGUCUGAUGUGAAAGCCCACGGCUCAACCGUGGAGGGUCAUUGGAAACUGAUAAACUUGAGUGCAGGAGAGAAGAGUGGAAUUCCUAGUGUAGCGGUGAAAUGCGUAGAGAUUAGGAGGAACACCAGUGGCGAAGGCGGCUUUUUGGCCUGUAACUGACACUGAGGCGCGAAAGCGUGGGGAGCAAACAGGAUUAGAUACCCCAGUAGUCCCUGUCUCUUAUAC
This 301-nucleotide ribosomal RNA is filed under the name uncultured bacterium. Its description in RNAcentral is "partial 16S ribosomal RNA". It matches the Rfam family "Bacterial small subunit ribosomal RNA", at positions 509 to 807 of the family's 1533-position model. The record is from RNAcentral.